AUUGAACGCUGGCGGCAGGCCUAACACAUGCAAGUCGAACGGUAACAGGAAAAAGCUUGCUGUUUCGCUGUCGAGUGGCGGGGGGGUGAGUAAUGUCUGUGACACUGCCUGAUGGAGGGGGAUAACUACUGGAAACGGUAGCUAAUACCGCAUAACGUUGCAAGACCAAAGAGGGGGACCUUCGGGCCUCUUGCCAUCGGAUGUGCCCAGAUGAGAUUAGCUAGUAGGUGGGGUAUCGGCUCACCUCGGAAACGAUCAAUAGCUGAUCUGAGAGGGCGAUAGGCCACACUGGAACUGAGACACGGUCCAGACUCCUACGGGAGGCAGCAGUAGGGAAUCUUCCGCAAUGGGCGAAAGCCUGAAGGAGCAACGCCGGGUGAGUGAUGAAGGUCUUCGGAUCGUAAAACUCUGUUAUUAUGGAAGAACAUAUGUGUAAGUAACUGUGCACAUCUUGACGGUACAUAAUAAGAAAGCAACGGCUAACUACGUG
RNAcentral lists this ribosomal RNA (490 nucleotides) under uncultured bacterium. RNAcentral's name for it is "partial 16S ribosomal RNA". It matches the Rfam family "Bacterial small subunit ribosomal RNA", at positions 30 to 507 of the family's 1533-position model. The record is from RNAcentral.